CCCUUAGAUGUUCUGGGCCGCACGCGCGCUACACUGACGAAUGCAACGAGCUUAUAACCUUGGCCGAAAGGUCUGGGUAAUCUCCAAAUUUCGUCGUGAUGGGGAUAGAUUAUUGCAAUUAUUAAUCUUCAACGAGGAAUGCCUAGUAAGCGCAAGUCAUCAGCUUGCGUUGAUUACGUCCCUGCCCUUUGUACACACCGCCCGUCGCUCCUACCGAUUGGAUGGUCCGGUGAAGCCUCGGGAUUGUGGUUCUUGCCGCUUUAUUGUGGCGUGACCGCGAGAACUUGUCUAAACCUUAUCAUCUAGAGGAAGGUGAAGUCGUAACA
RNAcentral lists this ribosomal RNA (326 nucleotides) under uncultured eukaryote. RNAcentral describes it as "partial 18S ribosomal RNA". It matches the Rfam family "Eukaryotic small subunit ribosomal RNA", at positions 1470 to 1796 of the family's 1831-position model. The record is from RNAcentral.